RNAcentral lists this small nuclear RNA (105 nucleotides) under Echinops telfairi (small Madagascar hedgehog). Lineage: Eukaryota; Metazoa; Chordata; Mammalia; Afrosoricida; Tenrecidae. The record is from RNAcentral.
GUGCUCGCUUCAGCAGCACAUAUACUAAAAUUGGUAUCGAUACAGAGAAGAUUAGCAUGGCCCCUGCACCAGGGAUGGACAUGGAAAAAACACUACCAUAAAAUA